GAUGAACGCUAGCGGCAGGCCUAACACAUGCAAGUCGAGGGGUAGCAGGAUUAAGCUUGCUUAAUUGCUGACGACCGGCGCACGGGUGCGUAACGCGUAUGCAACCUACCUUAUACUGGGGUAUAGCCCGGAGAAAUUCGGAUUAAUCCCCCAUAGUACUAAUGAAUCGCAUGGUUUAUUAGUUAAAGCAUUGCGGUAUAAGAUGGGCAUGCGUCCUAUUAGCUAGAUGGUGAGGUAACGGCCCACCAUGGCUACGAUAGGUAGGGGGCCUGAGAGUGGGGUCCCCCACACUGGUACUGAGACACGGACCAGACUCCUACGGGAGGCAGCAGUGAGGAAUAUUGGUCAAUGGGCGCAAGCCUGAACCAGCCAUGCCGCGUGCAGGAAGAAUGCCCUAUGGGUUGUAAACUGCUUUUAUUUGGGAAUAAACCUCUUUACGUGUAGAGAGCUGAAGGUACCAAAUGAAUAAGCACCGGCUAACUCCGUGCCAGCCGCCGCUGUAA
RNAcentral lists this ribosomal RNA (503 nucleotides) under uncultured bacterium. RNAcentral describes it as "partial 16S ribosomal RNA". It matches the Rfam family "Bacterial small subunit ribosomal RNA", at positions 28 to 523 of the family's 1533-position model. The record is from RNAcentral.